This is a non-coding RNA of Gossypium hirsutum (cotton), 107 nucleotides long. The record is from Rfam. Lineage: Eukaryota; Viridiplantae; Streptophyta; Magnoliopsida; Malvales; Malvaceae.
AUGUCAUGUUGAGGGCACUUUCAUAAUAAUUCCUUGAAUCGCUCCCAUGCCUCAUAUAUAUAUUCUUUACCAAGUUGCUAAAAUGAAGUGAUUUCAUUUUGGAUCUU